This 71-nucleotide transfer RNA is filed under the name Nicotiana sylvestris (wood tobacco). It matches the Rfam family "tRNA". From Rfam's summary of the family: Transfer RNA (tRNA) molecules are approximately 80 nucleotides in length. Their secondary structure includes four short double-helical elements and three loops (D, anti-codon, and T loops). Further hydrogen bonds mediate the characteristic L-shaped molecular structure. tRNAs have two regions of fundamental functional importance: the anti-codon, which is responsible for specific mRNA codon recognition, and the 3' end, to which the tRNAs corresponding amino acid is attached (by aminoacyl-tRNA synthetases). tRNAs cope with the degeneracy of the genetic code in two manners: having more than one tRNA (with a specific anti-codon) for a particular amino acid; and 'wobble' base-pairing, i.e. permitting non-standard base-pairing at the 3rd anti-codon position. Lineage: Eukaryota; Viridiplantae; Streptophyta; Magnoliopsida; Solanales; Solanaceae. The record is from Rfam by way of RNAcentral. RNAcentral also lists the same sequence under 1 other name.
GCACCUGUAGCUCAGUGGAUAGAGCAUCUGUUUUCAAGCUGAAGGUCGUAGGUUUGAUCCUCCCUGGAGCG